RNAcentral lists this transfer RNA (67 nucleotides) under Protonemura meyeri. RNAcentral describes it as "tRNA-Leu". It matches the Rfam family "tRNA". Rfam says of the family: Transfer RNA (tRNA) molecules are approximately 80 nucleotides in length. RNAcentral also lists the same sequence under 7 other names. Lineage: Eukaryota; Metazoa; Arthropoda; Insecta; Plecoptera; Nemouridae. The record is from RNAcentral.
UCUAAUAUGGCAGACAAGUGCAAUGGAUUUAAGCUCCAUAUAUAAAGGUUUAUGCCUUUUGUUAGAA